RNAcentral lists this non-coding RNA (30 nucleotides) under Homo sapiens (human). Lineage: Eukaryota; Metazoa; Chordata; Mammalia; Primates; Hominidae. The record is from RNAcentral.
UCUUUCAUGUUGUGCUCUUCAUGCAGGAGU